GCUGGGUUGUCUUCGUGUGUCAGCGUGGUCUGUACUGCUGUGGUGAUAGACAAGUACUACUUCCUGUGAUCUGUCCUGAUAGUAAAAGCAUACAGAUCUGCUUUCCCAAGGGAGAUUUAUUUGAUAGCAAGACAAAACUGAGGUGGUACUGUAAUUACAGUGCCACUCUAUCAGUAGUGAGCACACUUUCCAUUCCCUGCUUUUGACUAGGCAGAUUCACUUUGGCACUUCUGGAGAUUGUGUCAUUAACUCCUUAAACCAGCCAAGGAAGAGGGAGAAGACAGGUGCCUUUUUGCUUAUAUGCCAGAAUGAAAUAUUAGUAAGGAUAUCAAAUGAAGUGCCAAAUAAAAAGAUUUAUUGCUCUUGAAAUAUAAAAGUACUAGGGUAUUCCAAAGAAAUAGGUCAAAAUACAACAUCUUUGCCCCUUUGAACAUUAGUGUUAUUGCAGGUUUUGUAAGACAACAAGGAGGACACCCUUGUUGAUUUUCAGGAUCUGGAAGACCAAUGAGAUAUGGUCAGAACCUUUUUUAGAAGGUUGUUGUUUAUUUUCCUAAAGAAUACAGGAUGGAAAAAUUAUUUGAAAAUUGUUCAAUACUUAUUUAGAGCUUAAUUAUUAAACAAGUAUGGCUUGAAUUUCUUAAAAUUUAAAGCAAUCUUAACUAUAAAUAAUGUCACAUCCAUAGUAUAAUUGCUACUUGAACAGCUGCCACAGGAGAAUUGCUUAUUCCUGUUAGACAAUGUGUUGCAUAAAUACUUUGAGUUCUAAGUACCGCUUGUCCAAGUAGGUUGUUAAAUUAAAAUCAUGUCUACACUCCUUUUUCAAAGCUGAUAAGCUUGGACAAUGAAAUAGCUGUCUUCCUAAAGGGCCAUCUUUAGUCCUUUCUCUGGGCUCCCUCCAGAAAAAGUUUGAAUGAGUAUACUUGAAUUGCUCUUUUGAAAACCAUAGUAUUUAUUUUUCUUGUACGCUUCUAAGAUAUACUUUUCCUUUUUAUUUGCCCUUUCUAGGGAAAUAUAAUGGCAUGGUAGUCUCACCAACUGUAUCCAGUUCUGCUGCAUUUACUCUUGGGAGUUGUUCUGACUCCCCUUCAGAAUAGAGCUGCAAACGUUAGUACAAACCUGGCUGGUGCUCUUUAUUAGGAACAAGCAGGGAGGGACAGGUUAGUCCCUACUUGUGCAUAAUCAGUCAGCCUAAGAAGACAGAGGUGGAAAGGGUGCUCUGUCUGGCUUCUGGACUGACAUUGUUCCAUUGCCAGAUACACAAAAUUCUGAUGCAGCUAUCCCACUCUCUAGAGUUUCUGAUAAAUUUGAGGGAAACUAGUGAAGGAAAGAGCACUUGCAGAGACCUUUUUCCAGUGCAGAGGUUCUUGAUAUGUUUGUUGGAGUCAGUGUCCUACUGAACCUUCUGGUGUUUUUAAUGUGGAGAGAAAUAAACUGGGUUAUGAUGUGAUGGAAUUAUCAUCAUUAUAUACUACUUGACUGUAAAGUCAUGUUACUUACUAUGUUUUGCCAAGAAAGGACCAUGGAAUCUCCAGAACUACCACCUUUGUCCAAUCCUGUGUUGGUCUAUAGAUUGCUUUAACAGUAGUGAAGUCUGAACAGAGGUGGGUAUAGGUUCUGCUCUUUUGAACUAUCGUAAGUUUCUAAAACAGUGAGUGAAUAAGCGUUCUUACCUUCAAAAUGAUUCCUGAUUGUCAAGGAAGUUUUUGCAGCUUUUAGCCAAAACACUGACAUCUAAACAUGCAUCUAUAAAUUCCAAAGUUGACUCUGACAUGCAUCUAAAUGCAUCUAAAUUCCAAAGUUGAGGAAUUCACUGUUUCCACAUGAUAGGUAUUUUGUACUAGUACUGCAUUUGAUCUGGGUAGUUUCUGUGCCUGAAUAGUUACAAUGCAAUUCUCUCAUAGUAAAUAACAUGGGAAAGUACUUUAGGUAUCACCUUGAAGACAAAGCAGACCAAUAAACUGCAUACCCUCUCCCCAGAGCAGCUUGGGUUCAAGCAGGAUUCUUCCAGACAAGAUUAUGGUUUCAAAUAUUAAUACAAAUGAGAUGUGAAGCUGCAAGCACAAAACUGCUGAGUGAAAAGUUUAGCAUAUCACAGUGUUACAAACUUGGAAAUCACUUUAUCUUUCUAAUGUGAACCUAAAAGCAUUUACGAAAAUUGGAAAAACUUCUUGGUAUGUAACAGCCUGAGAGUUAAUACUACCUUCAUUUUAGUCUUCUGUUGAGACUAAAUUUAGAGUUGUGCAAGUAAGUAAAAAUCCUAUGGAGAAGCCACAAUAAAGCUAAGAUCUCUGUAGUAAUCUGUCUUUGUGUAUCAACUGCAUUCUUACAAAAGCUUGCCAGAUGUGCAUUCAAAUAUUUUUUUUUCUUCUAGCUGUUCAUUGUAAAACUUUUUUGUCAUUUUCACAUGCUUUUAACAUAACUCUUCAGUAUUUGUGUAGGCAAUGUUCAGCUAAUUUUUGUGUUUUGUUUAUAAUUACGGUACUAAAGUGGAGAAGGGAUGCAUAAAGUUGUGAAUUUUUUAUUAAAAAAGAAAAAGUUUAUGAGCACUGUUAGGAGGUUGUGGGUUUUUUACCAGAAAAUGUUUUUCAGAUUUAAUAGAAGUAAUUUAUUUUGGCUUUUCACUGGAGGAUUUUUGGUUUGCUGCCAAAUCAGGAAUGGUUCAUUCAUUCACUAUGUUUGGAAAACUGUUAUUUCAAAUUUGUUUGUAUUAAAGAGUCUGCCUGUUGAAAAGAUAUCUUUAUUGCUGCAAUAAAUUAAUGUAUCAGACUAUGACUGCUAGUUUCUCUAAUUGGCUAUCAAUUCAUUCCAGAUUAGCAGCCCCCAGUAUUCAUGUGCUUUGUGAGGUCUGCUUUGAAUCCUCUCUAAAGAUGCCUUGGUUCUGUGGCCAGAUUUCUAUAUAAACAGUGUUACCUAAUUUUAAAGGGUUGCUUCGUUAGGCAGAAGUUUUUCAUGUCCGUCAUUUUUGCCUCACAAAAUUGUCCAUUUGUAUAGUGCACACAGUCCAUUAUUAAAUUUUCUUAUUAGUCCUAUGAAAGUGCUAUUGUAUAAAUUUUGAUUUAUCUAGAAUGUACUUCAGAGAAAAAGGCUUUUGGGGUUAAAUUAUGUCUCAUUUCAUGUGUCUGUUGGGGAAAAAGAGAAGAUACCCUGUGUCUGGUCCUGACAAAGCAUAUUUCAUCAGACUGCUAUUAUUUCUGUGCAGGCUUUGAAGAAAAAGGGUAAAAGGUCAUUCUUUUGUUUGUGACUAAGGAAGAUAUUGUCUUUGAAAGAUGGUUUAUUUUUCUCAUAUUUUAAAUAAUCUUACUCUCAUAGCCCAAAUAUAUCCUUGCUUUAAAACCUUAAGAUACAUAUUUCAAUAUAAAUAUGCUCAGCAAGAAGACCAAUUCACUUUUAAGGAAGGCUGACUGUUUAUAAAAUGUGCAGUAUUUAGGUCAUGUUAAUGUUCUUGCAAAUAAAAUAUUUUGACUGUCACAUCAGAAAUGAGAAAUUGUGUUACAAGAAUGAAUCCUUGAGGAUGCUUUUACAUCAGUAUAAUAAAUGCAUAAAAGGUGCUUUGUAAAGGUGAUAUUUAUCAUUCACUAUAAAUAACUAGAUUUAAUAAAUUUCUUUUAAUUUGCUUGGGCUUUUGCACAGCCAAAUGCCCUCUGUGUAGGAAUGAGCUUCAAGUAGAUAACUUGGUGGAAUGGUCCCCUAGAAGAGGAAAUAGACUCCAGUAAUGAAAAGAAGCCUGAUCAGGAGUGGAUAUCUAACUCAAAGAUAAACGCUCUUAUGCAUGCUUUAGUAGAACUACGGAGGGAUAAGUCCAGCUGCUAAAUGUCUGGUUGUUUGUCAGUUCACAACUUUCUUGUCACUGAUAGAAAACUGUUUGAGGUAAGUAGAACUGAUGUUAUUUUCAAUAAACAUGUCCUUUUGUGGUGUUUUAGAAUGAUCUCUCAAAGAAAAUGGAGCUUAUAUGCAGAGGUGAGGAUUUUAAUGUAUUUAUUUCCUGUUGUCACCCAAAAUGGAUUGGUAAAUUCAACAUUUUUACUUUCUCUUUAGAGAAUCAGGGCUUGCAUUUAUUCAUUUGGAUGGGUCAAUGGCACAGAAGAAAAGAAUGAAAGCAAUUUGUUGUUUCCAAAGCAACCAAGCAGGGUCCUGAACUAUAAUGCUUUUGUCUCUGAAAGUGGGUGGAGUUGGAUUAAAUGUGACAGCAGCUUUCCUAGUGUUUUUAAUGGAUCCUGUGGUAAUGGGUUGUUCAUAAUGAUAUGGCCUAAUCUAGGUGAAAUUUCUUUGGUGUUUUUCUAAGAGGCAGAAGGAAAACCUGUCUGAGAAAGAAUGACAAUGAUGAGUAUCUGUUUAAAAGACAAAUAGAAGUUUCCUUCAUUUGUUUCCCUAGCAUCUUCUUGUUUUAACACUGUAUUUUUUUGCUGUCCAUUUAUUUACUAUAAGUGGAAAGAAUACUAGUAAUACUACUAACUUAGACAGUGUAGCGUAUGCUAUGUUCAUUCUUCAUAUCUCUCUUUCUUUCUGAUACUUUUGAAUGAGACUUUCUGUUUGUUAUGAACUUCAAAAGCCACAAAGUGGAAUUUGAGGAACACUAUAUAUUUAAUGUAGUACUUGUCUGUUCUAGCCUCUUCUGCUAUUACUGAGAAUUUAUUUAUAAAUUAAGACAUUAGUCUGAGGUUACCUUUUGUGGUCAUGGGAAACUGGUAAUACUUACAUUUAGGAAGUUUUUUUUCCUUUCAUUAAAGCACUCAGAAAUGCAAAAUUAUUUGUAAAGAAUAAAAAUGUAAAUUACCUUUAUUGAUAACAAAACAGUUGCCUUAGCAAAACUGAUUUAUGUGUUGUGUCAUUGUACCAGAUUAAGGGUUUUCUAUUCACUUCCUGCCUUCCCCUGUUCACUCCUCUGGUGUAAUUCCCAAAUUUUUUUGGCAGUUGGAAACUGUAACAAAAUCUGCACUUGAAAGAAACAGAGUAAAUUAAAACAAUAGUUUAGCUUUGGACUUGGGCAUCCAUCACUGCCAAUUGUAAAGAAAAAGUACAAGCUUGGACAUCAGGUCAUGGAUAGUAACAGUACAAAGACAAAGCCUAUUUAUUUAAUAAGUAAAAGAAAUUAAGUAUGAGUAAGAGUAUGGAGAAGUUGCCAUGAAAGAAUUUUUUUCAUGAAUCACAAUGCAUCUUCACAAAUAUUGUCUGUGUAUGGACUGCAUUGAUCCAUUCACUUGGAAGGGACCUACACUACCAAAACGCCAUCAUGUCUGACUGUUUGGGGUUUUUUUCCCAACAAUUCUCUGAAUAUUUGUAGAAAGUGCAAAAUAAUUUUAAUCUUCUGUGAAGAUAAUGAGGUAUAAUGAAUUCAUCAUAUUGCAGCAAGCAGUUGUAAGAAAAUAAGCUAAGCAUUGCUAACACCAAGUCAUCUACAGUCUAGGUAUAUCUAACAACCCAGGGCCAAAUAUAAUUGCUGCCUUUAGAGACCUCUGAACAGCAACUUCUCAUGCUGCUGGUAGACAUCCUGCGAUGGUAACCAUCCCAAGUGGCAGUGGUUGACUGCUUAUGUUUGAUGGAGGAGCAGUGGGCCCACAUGAUCCUUUCUUUAUGAUCUGACUUUUGAAUAAACAGUGCCAAAUGAGAGUCAUUCAUGCAUUAGCAUUCCUUGAAGUGCACUAGCAGCAGUAAUAGGAUUUAAGAAGCAGAAAUACCAGUGGAGUAAUCAGUUUUUCAAAUUCUUACUUUUGCAGGCUAUGUCCAAAGAUGGUAUUUAAUUCAAAAUUUUAAAAGUACUUUUUACUAUUUCUGAAUAAUAUACAUCUGCAGGAGGGAGUUCCUCUGAUAAUUACUUCCCAGGACUUAGUAAAAAGGUAGUACUUAAAUUUGUGAAACACUUACUUUUAAUAUUUUACUUAACAGAACUCCAAUGAUUUUUGUGAAGUUUUUUUUUUUGUUGUUGAUGGAAUGCUAGAAUCAUAGGCAUGUAUUGCACUAUGCUAUCUAGUAAUUUCAAUAGACACUUUGAACAAUAAGACCAUGCUAGAUGCAAAGUAGAAUCUGAUCCACUCGUGUGUCAGUGAAUGAGGAAGUCCUUACAAAAUAAAUUAAAACAAAUUAUUUUAUAGCUGCCAGCUCUCUAACAGUUUUCCUUUACUGCUUUUCCACUUGCAGUGGAAAAAUGACGUUUUCCACUUCCAUACAUAUGUCUCAAUGGAAUGCUGAUCUGCACGCCACUUGACUUAUGGAGGAAGGACUUGGUAAACUACACCCAUUCAUGUACCACAGAGUAAAAAACAGUGCUGAAGAAUCUCAGUUGAGCAUUAGCUGAAUAUUUAUGUCUGUUCCUGUCUUUCCAUUUGAUUCUUGUCUUCUGAUAAUGUCUUUAUCUAACACAUAUUCUGCUCCCUUCACUGCGAUGCUCAGACUUUGAAUUGGAGUCAGAGAUUGCUAUAUCUACGUCCUGUUUAGAUUUGGGAAGUGUACUUAACAGCAGAGAAAUGGAGUCCAUAAAGCCUUUUAUCUCUUACAUCUGAAAAUAUCAACCUGCUGAUAAUAAGAUGAAUUGGAAACAUAGGAAGUGGAAAAGGACUGAGAAAUAAAGGGAAGAUAUCUACUAUCUGAAGCAAAUGGGCUAAUGAAAGGAGUGAAAAAGGAAGUAAAAACAAGCAAACUAUCAAACUGAUGCCAUUUUUGGAGAGCCAGGACCUUAGCUAUGGAGAAGGGCAUACUUUAAGUCUGUUAGAGAAAGAAUUACAAGGACACAAACGAUGGAAGCAUGAACCCCACUAUCUGACUGCCACUGGAAAGCUGAAAAAGAACAAGAAAACAGCUAAACCUGAUUGAAGUUGGGUUUUGAGUGCCAUUUUUUGGGGUUUUUUGUGGUUUUUUUUUUUUUUUGGUUUGGCAUAGAGUUUAUGUAAGUUAAACUUUGUGUUUUGCUGUUACAGAUUUUGAUAUUUAGAGAUAAGCUGGAAAAAUAAUUUGAAAUUAUGAAAGAGGAUUUGGCCUCUUUUUUGUUAUGUCCAUUUUGCAAGUAAGAAUUUCACAGGCAAGAGUACCAUUUCUAUGGCUA
This is a non-coding RNA of Zonotrichia albicollis (white-throated sparrow), 7036 nucleotides long. The record is from RefSeq and is a predicted model, not a curated record. Lineage: Eukaryota; Metazoa; Chordata; Aves; Passeriformes; Passerellidae.